Molecule: ribosomal RNA, 1372 nt
Filed under: uncultured bacterium
Lineage: Bacteria
Description: bacterial SSU rRNA
Rfam family: Bacterial small subunit ribosomal RNA
Source: RNAcentral
GAUGAACGCUGGCGGCGUGCCUAAUACAUGCAAGUCGAGCGAACGGACGAGAAGCUUGCUUCUCUGAUGUUAGCGGCGGACGGGUGAGUAACACGUGGAUAACCUACCUAUAAGACUGGGAUAACUUCGGGAAACCGGAGCUAAUACCGGAUAAUAUUUUGAACCGCAUGGUUCAAAAGUGAAAGACGGUCUUGCUGUCACUUAUAGAUGGAUCCGCGCUGCAUUAGCUAGUUGGUAAGGUAACGGCUUACCAAGGCAACGAUGCAUAGCCGACCUGAGAGGGUGAUCGGCCACACUGGAACUGAGACACGGUCCAGACUCCUACGGGAGGCAGCAGUAGGGAAUCUUCCGCAAUGGGCGAAAGCCUGACGGAGCAACGCCGCGUGAGUGAUGAAGGUCUUCGGAUCGUAAAACUCUGUUAUUAGGGAAGAACAUAUGUGUAAGUAACUGUGCACAUCUUGACGGUACCUAAUCAGAAAGCCACGGCUAACUACGUGCCAGCAGCCGCGGUAAUACGUAGGUGGCAAGCGUUAUCCGGAAUUAUUGGGCGUAAAGCGCGCGUAGGCGGUUUUUUAAGUCUGAUGUGAAAGCCCACGGCUCAACCGUGGAGGGUCAUUGGAAACUGGAAAACUUGAGUGCAGAAGAGGAAAGUGGAAUUCCAUGUGUAGCGGUGAAAUGCGCAGAGAUAUGGAGGAACACCAGUGGCGAAGGCGACUUUCUGGUCUGUAACUGACGCUGAUGUGCGAAAGCGUGGGGAUCAAACAGGAUUAGAUACCCUGGUAGUCCACGCCGUAAACGAUGAGUGCUAAGUGUUAGGGGGUUUCCGCCCCUUAGUGCUGCAGCUAACGCAUUAAGCACUCCGCCUGGGGAGUACGACCGCAAGGUUGAAACUCAAAGGAAUUGACGGGGACCCGCACAAGCGGUGGAGCAUGUGGUUUAAUUCGAAGCAACGCGAAGAACCUUACCAAAUCUUGACAUCCUUUGACAACUCUAGAGAUAGAGCCUUCCCCUUCGGGGGACAAAGUGACAGGUGGUGCAUGGUUGUCGUCAGCUCAUGUCGUGAGAUGUUGGGUUAAGUCCCGCAACGAGCGCAACCCUUAAGCUUAGUUGCCAUCAUUAAGUUGGGCACUCUAAGUUGACUGCCGGUGACAAACCGGAGGAAGGUGGGGAUGACGUCAAAUCAUCAUGCCCCUUAUGAUUUGGGCUACACACGUGCUACAAUGGACAAUACAAAGGGCAGCGAAACCGCGAGGUCAAGCAAAUCCCAUAAAGUUGUUCUCAGUUCGGAUUGUAGUCUGCAACUCGACUACAUGAAGCUGGAAUCGCUAGUAAUCGUAGAUCAGCAUGCUACGGUGAAUACGUUCCCGGGUCU